UAGCGCAUUUGUCUUCGCGCAGUGCGGAGAAUCGUCACAGACGUCAAAAAAGUUCGUUAUAUACAAAUUCUGUUAUUGUUUUUAUUUGCUUGUAUCAACAGAAUAAAAUAAGAAGAGUGGAAACAUUCGCAGGACUUGAAAUCUCGAGGAGCAAUGGGUAAAGGAGGAAAAGGUGGCGGUGGAAAGGGUGGAGAUAAGAAAGCUGCACCCGCGAGCGGCGGAGCAUCCGGUGGAAAAGCCGCGGACGCUAAGGGCGACGCGAACAAAAACAAAGGCGGCAAAAAGGGUGGGAAAAAAUAAUGUUCUUUGCGUACGAAGGGAAGCGAUUUAUCACGAAGCGUAUUCGGACCACUUCUACCUCGAUAAUUCCCCUCGCCCCGGCCCCUCAAAACCCUCAAAUUUGUGAUUCAUUAAAUUACUCGCUCGAAAUGCUCGCAUUGUUUAUCAACUUCGUUGAAUAAAGAAUAUUGAAUUUCA
RNAcentral lists this long non-coding RNA (477 nucleotides) under Venturia canescens. Its description in RNAcentral is "uncharacterized LOC122416951, transcript variant X2". Lineage: Eukaryota; Metazoa; Arthropoda; Insecta; Hymenoptera; Ichneumonidae. The record is from RNAcentral.